RNAcentral lists this ribosomal RNA (424 nucleotides) under uncultured bacterium. RNAcentral describes it as "bacterial SSU rRNA". It matches the Rfam family "Bacterial small subunit ribosomal RNA", at positions 96 to 516 of the family's 1533-position model. The record is from RNAcentral.
UGGCGAACGGGUGAGUAAUGUAUCGGAACGUGCCCAGUUGUGGGGGAUAACUGCUCGAAAGAGCAGCUAAUACCGCAUACGACCUGAGGGUGAAAGCGGGGGAUCGCAAGACCUCGCGCAAUUGGAGCGGCCGAUAUCAGAUUAGGUAGUUGGUGGGGUAAAGGCUCACCAAGCCGACGAUCUGUAGCUGGUCUGAGAGGACGACCAGCCACACUGGGACUGAGACACGGCCCAGACUCCUACGGGAGGCAGCAGUGGGGAAUUUUGGACAAUGGGCGCAAGCCUGAUCCAGCCAUGCCGCGUGCGGGAAGAAGGCCUUCGGGUUGUAAACCGCUUUUGUCAGGGAAGAAAAGGCUCCUGUUAAUACCGGGGGCUCAUGACGGUACCUGAAGAAUAAGCACCGGCUAACUACGUGCCAGCAGCC